GACGAACGCUGGCGGCGUGCUUAACACAUGCAAGUCGAACGGAAAGGCCCUGCUUGCAGGGUACUCGAGUGGCGAACGGGUGAGUAACACGUGGGUGAUCUGCCCUGCACUUCGGGAUAAGCCUGGGAAACGGGGUCCAAUACCGGAUAGGAGCUACUUUUAGUGUGAGGGAUGGAAAGUUUUUUCGGUGUAGGAUGAGCUCGCGGCCUAUCAGCGUGUUGGUGGGGUGAUGGCGUACCAGGGCGGCGACGGGAAGCCCGCCUGUGGGGCUGGGCGGCCACCCUGGGACUGAGGGACGGCCCAGGCUCCGACGAGAGGCCGAUGUGGGGAAUCUUGCUCCAGGGGCGCCGGGCUGGUGCAGCGGCGCCGCGUGGGGGAUGGCGGCCUUGUGGUUGUAAACUCGUUUCGCUAGGGACGAAGCCUUUUGUGACGGUACCUAGAUAAGAAGCACCGGCUAACUACGUG
Molecule: ribosomal RNA, 465 nt
Filed under: uncultured bacterium
Lineage: Bacteria
Description: partial 16S ribosomal RNA
Rfam family: Bacterial small subunit ribosomal RNA
Source: RNAcentral